UACGUAGGGGGCUAGCGUUGUCCGGAAUCAUUGGGCGUAAAGCGCGUGUAGGCGGUUCGGUAAGUCCGCUGUGAAAGUCGGGGGCUCAACCCUCGAAUGCCGGUGGAUACUGUCGGACUAGAGUACGGAAGAGGCGAGUGGAAUUCCUGGUGUAGCGGUGAAAUGCGCAGAUAUCGGGAAGAACACCCGUGGCGAAGGCGGUUCUCUGGGACGGUACUGACGCUGAGACGCGGAAGCGUGGGGAGCGAACAGG
This 253-nucleotide ribosomal RNA is filed under the name uncultured bacterium. RNAcentral's name for it is "partial 16S ribosomal RNA". It matches the Rfam family "Bacterial small subunit ribosomal RNA", at positions 524 to 776 of the family's 1533-position model. The record is from RNAcentral.